This is a long non-coding RNA of Helianthus annuus (common sunflower), 1409 nucleotides long. RefSeq lists it as uncharacterized. The transcript has 10 exons. Lineage: Eukaryota; Viridiplantae; Streptophyta; Magnoliopsida; Asterales; Asteraceae. The record is from RefSeq and is a predicted model, not a curated record.
CUUCUUCAAUGUUCUCAAACCCUACACCCACAUUUUCUCCUUCACGAUUCUUCCUUCUGCUUCAAGCCAAACCUUCAAACCCUAAUCCACCAUGAACACACCAAAACACACCUGCUUAAAACUCCAAAUCCCUCAACAUCCCCAACCAAUCUUCAUCAAAGGCACCUGGUUUUCUUCUCACUUCAGUCUCCUCCUUCUCCUUCGUGUCUGAUAAAGUUUAAUAUAUGCAAAUCUGACAUCUGGAUGCUACAAGAAGCUCGGAAUCCAUGGGGACUAAAAGCUCUCUGAUUAGGCAUAACAAGCCAGGGAUUGCAGCAUUUCGUCUUGCAAAUGGAUUUUGUGAAAUGGCUGAAAGUGUGGUGUUCUUCAGUAAGGCCCUAUGUUUCUACUUUCUACUGCUCUAUUGUUCACGUGCUUGGACCACCUUAUGAGAAAUAUGAUAGAGAGGUAUCUAUGCUGCUUCUUGAUGUGGACUUUUGAUUGUUAAUGGAGGUUGAUGAUGAGGAUUCUGAAGACCAUUCACUUAUGGAACUUGCAGGUGAUAUGCUUGAAGAAAGGUUUAAAUUAACAGGUCAUCGGAGUAGGGCUAUAAAUGAGAAACAAUACUGUGACAGCCACCUAGCACCUUUCUACAGAAUCGAGCUUAUGACGAGUAGCGAGGAUGAUCACUAUAUAAGUGGUGGUUCAAGUAUACAUCUGUCAUGUUAAAUGGCCGCAGAUUAAUUUGUGGUAACAUCAUGACUCAUGCUUUUACAACAAGGUGAAAAAAAUGACAGGGUAGGUUGUUUCAGAAGCCAAAGUGGAGAAGCCAAAGUGGAGCAUUUCUGCUGGGGAAAUUACCAGAUAAAGACAUAAUAGAAAUGGUGUUUUUUCCUGUUGUGAAUGAGGCGUUUAGAGUAUAUGCAGGGGUAUUACAGUAAAAACAUCCGAUUUGGAUAUCGAUGGUGUUAUGGGAAUGGAAUUUCCACCUUACAGAUUCUUUUUCAUCUUUUGAUCAAAACUUUUUUUUUUAAUUUUAAUUUUAGUUUUGAAUAUCAACAUGUGUUUUGUACAGGGGAGUGAUUAUGUUAAGGGGAGAUUUGGUUGGAUCUAAGUACAUUCAUAGGAGGUUGAAUGAGUGGUGAAUGAUGUACGGGGUUCUUCAAGCCGUGCAACUAUUUGGCUCAGAGAGUUGCACAUGGGGCUCCUUUGGUGCUUGAUGUCAACCAGAUGAAUGGCCUUACAACUGAUCCACAAAUGCUUGAUGUCGCUUCAAAUAACGUCAGAAGGGAGGCAUCCACCAUCUCCCAUAAUGUCAGUGAAACAAGUUAUUUCUUCUCUUUAUUUAGUUGAUUAUUUUGAAUGGGUUAUUGUGCUUAAGGCUCUUAUAUGUACUUCAUGUUGUUUUGUUAUCAAAUUUGGUUCAGUAA